GGGCAAUGCGCAGCUACACAUGCAGUCGAGGGGUAGAAGAAGCUUGCUUUUUUGAGACCGGCGCACGGGUGAGUAACGCGUAUGCAACCUACCUUAUACAGGGGAAUAGCCCGAAGAAAUUCGGAUUAAUGCUCCAUGGUUUAUCGAUAUGGCAUCGUAUUGAUAAUAAAGAUUUAUCGGUAUAAGAUGGGCAUGCGUAUCAUUAGCUAGUUGGUGUGGUAACGGCAUACCAAGGCAACGAUGAUUAGGGGUCCUGAGAGGGAGAUCCCCCACACUGGUACUGAGACACGGACCAGACUCCUACGGGAGGCAGCAGUGAGGAAUAUUGGUCAAUGGAGGCAACUCUGAACCAGCCAUGCCGCGUGCAGGAUGACGGUCCUAUGGAUUGUAAACUGCUUUUGUACAGGAAGAAACCUCCCUACGAGUAGGGACUUGACGGUACUGUAAGAAUAAGGAUCGGCUAACUCCGUGCCAGCAGCCGCGGUAAUACGGAGGAUCCGAGCGUUAUCCGGAAUUAUUGGGUUUAAAGGGUUCGUAGGCGGCCUUAUAAGUCAGUGGUGAAAUUUCCUAGCUUAACUAAGACACUGCCAUUGAUACUGCUUGACUUGAAUAAUAUGGAAGUAACUAGAAUAUGUAGUGUAGCGGUGAAAUGCUUAGAUAUUACAUGGAAUACCAAUUGCGAAGGCAGGUUACUACGUAUUUAUUGACGCUGAUGAACGAAAGCGUGGGGAGCGAACAGGAUUAGAUACCCUGGUAGUCCACGCCGUAAACGAUGGAUACUAGCUGUUCGGAUUUCGGACUGAGUGGCUAAGCGAAAGUGAUAAGUAUCCCACCUGGGGAGUACGUUCGCAAGAAUGAAACUCAAAGGAAUUGACGGGGGCCCGCACAAGCGGUGGAGCAUGUGGUUUAAUUCGAUGAUACGCGAGGAACCUUACCAGGCUUAAAUGUAGAUUGACAGAUUUGGAAACAGAUUUUUUCUUCGGACAUUUACAAGGUGCUGCAUCGCUAGUCGUCAGCUCCGUGCCGAGAGUGUCAGGGUUAAGAUCCUAUAACGAGCGCACCCCUAUUGGUUAGCUUACCAUUGGCGUCAGUGGCG
This 1096-nucleotide ribosomal RNA is filed under the name Myroides odoratimimus. RNAcentral describes it as "bacterial SSU rRNA". It matches the Rfam family "Bacterial small subunit ribosomal RNA", at positions 37 to 1134 of the family's 1533-position model. Lineage: Bacteria; Pseudomonadati; Bacteroidota; Flavobacteriia; Flavobacteriales; Flavobacteriaceae. The record is from RNAcentral.